This is a long non-coding RNA of Chiroxiphia lanceolata (lance-tailed manakin), 596 nucleotides long. RefSeq lists it as uncharacterized. The record is from RefSeq and is a predicted model, not a curated record. The transcript has 4 exons. NCBI's taxonomy places the organism in Eukaryota, Metazoa, Chordata, Aves, Passeriformes, Pipridae.
AAACUAAAUGUGUCAAAGCAACAGCUCUUGUUGUGCAGGGAAUAACUCCUGUCAGCAGCAAGGUCCCGACUGAAGUGGCAGCUGUAGUUGUUCCUGUGGUGUGGACCAGUGGACUUCCAGGAGAGUGGAAGAAGGCAGAACCUAAUGUGAAUGCAAGAACCUGCCAAGAAAACCAAUGGCCAAGGUGAUUGAUUAGUGUAGGACCUGAGAGAACCCCCUGAAAUGACAACCUCAAGUAGUUUCCAGUAUUAGAUUGAAAAGAUGGCCUUUGCUGCAUCUCCUUGAGCAAGGAAAGCCAAGAAACCUUUGCUUUUGCAGGAGAAAAUCUGGACAGCGGGAAGGAAGAGAAGAAGUCUGAGCCCCAGACAGCGCAGGAACUGCCUUCCUGGGAAUGGUGGGAUGGGCUGGACUCUGGAUUGCUCCCUCUGGAUGUGUGGCUCUCCCCUGCAGGAACUGCAGGAACUCCUGGUGCCGCCUGGGCCGAUGCAUUGGACGCCCCAGCCCCUCCGUUCCUGCCCAGCCACUGGGGCCGUGUCGAGUGGUGGCACUGCCAGCCCUGCAGUGGGAUGGAGCCUGGAAACUGCCCAGAGCUGAGC